This 295-nucleotide unclassified non-coding RNA is filed under the name uncultured fungus. RNAcentral describes it as "sequence contains ITS2". The stretch from base 1 to 52 matches the Rfam family "5.8S ribosomal RNA", at positions 103 to 154 of the family's 154-position model. The record is from RNAcentral. Lineage: Eukaryota; Fungi.
AACGCACCUUGCGCUCCUUGGUAUUCCGAGGAGCAUGCCUGUUUGAGUGUCUUGAAGUCAUCAACCCCUUCCGUUUCGUGCGGACUGGGUUGGAGCUGGGGGCCUGCCGCCGCAAGGCGGCUCCCCUCAAAUGCAUCGGUUGGGCCUGUGGGUCGAACUCGACUGGGCGUUGUAUCAUCCUCGCUCGACAGAGACGUUCCCCUCUCGUGCCCUUCCCCGACCUGCCUACGAGAGUGGCGGUCAAGCAAUUUUGAAAUCUGACCUCAAAUCAGGUAGGACUACCCGCUGAACUUAA